This 406-nucleotide ribosomal RNA is filed under the name uncultured bacterium. RNAcentral's name for it is "partial 16S ribosomal RNA". It matches the Rfam family "Bacterial small subunit ribosomal RNA", at positions 30 to 526 of the family's 1533-position model. The record is from RNAcentral.
AUUGAACGCUGGCGGCAGGCCUAACACAUGCAAGUCGAACGCGUCGCGGACGGGUGUGUAAUGUCUGGGAAACUGCCUGAUGGAGGGGGACAACUACUGGAAACGGUAGCUAAUACCGCAUACCAUCAGCUGUGCCCAGAUGGGAUUGGCUAUUUGGUUGGGUAACGGCUCACCAUGGCGACGAUCCCUAGCUGGUCUGAGAGGAUGACCAGCCACACUGGAACUGAGACACGGUCCAGACUCCUACGGGAGGCAGCAGUGGGGAAUAUUGCACAAGGGGCGCAAGCCUGAUGGAGCCAUGCCGCGUGUGUGAGGAAGGCCUUCGGGUUGUAAAGUACUUUCGGCGGUGAGGCGUGACCCGCAGAAGAAGCACCGGCUAACUCCGUGCCAGCAGCCGCGGUAAUAC